CCUACGGGCGGCAGCAGUGGGGAAUAUUGGACAAUGGGGGGAACCCUGAUCCAGCCAUGCCGCGUGUGUGAAGAAGGCCCUCGGGUUGUAAAGCACUUUCAGUGAGGAAGAACGCCUGGUGGUUAAUACCCAUCAGGAAAGACAUCACUCACAGAACAAGCACCGGCUAACUCCGUGCCAGCAGCCGCGGUAAUACGGAGGGUGCGAGCGUUAAUCGGAAUUACUGGGCGUAAAGCGCGCGUAGGUGGCUUGAUAAGCCGGUUGUGAAAGCCCCGGGCUCAACCUGGGAACGGCAUCCGGAACUGUCAAGCUAGAGUGCAGGAGAGGAAGGUAGAAUUCCCGGUGUAGCGGUGAAAUGCGUAGAGAUCGGGAGGAAUACCAGUGGCGAAGGCGGCCUUCUGGACUGACACUGACACUGAGGUGCGAAAGCGUGGGUAGCAAACAGGAUUAGAUACCCCGGUAGUC
RNAcentral lists this ribosomal RNA (465 nucleotides) under Vreelandella stevensii. RNAcentral describes it as "partial 16S ribosomal RNA". It matches the Rfam family "Bacterial small subunit ribosomal RNA", at positions 338 to 795 of the family's 1533-position model. The record is from RNAcentral. Lineage: Bacteria; Pseudomonadati; Pseudomonadota; Gammaproteobacteria; Oceanospirillales; Halomonadaceae.